This is a non-coding RNA of Aedes albopictus (Asian tiger mosquito), 58 nucleotides long. The record is from Rfam. Lineage: Eukaryota; Metazoa; Arthropoda; Insecta; Diptera; Culicidae.
UAGCCUAGUGGUUAAGGCUAUGGAUCGCCAAUCCGGAAACGGUGGGUUCGAUUCCCGU